AGAGCGCGUGUGGCGGCCGAGCACAUGGGCCCGCGGGCCGGGCGGGCUCGGGGCGGCCGGGACGAGGAGGGGCGACGACGAGCUGCGAGCAAAGAUGUGCCCCGGGACCCCCGGCACCUUCCAGUGGAUUUCCUUGCGGAAAGGAUGUUGGCGGUCCCUGUGACCUGUGGAGACACGGCCAGAUCUGCCCUCCAAAUCCUGUUACACCUGGGAUUUAGGCACUUUCAAUCUGAAAAAAUACAUAUCCUUUCAGCACUCUGGACGGACUUGAGAACUGUCCUUACGUGACCUAAAGCUGGAGUAUUUUGAGAUUGGAGAAUUAAGAGCCAGUCUUGGUGCUCUGUGUUCACCUGGUUCAUCUGAGGAGCUGCAUCUACCCUGCCCAUGCCAUAGAUCCUGCCCUGUUUGCUUCUCCUGUUGCUGCUAGUGGACAUGAGAAGGACAGAAUAACGGGCUCCCAGAUUCACAAGCCCCACCAAGAGGAUCACCCCAGGAACGCUUGGAGGCUGAGGAGUUCACUGAGGCUACUGCAUCUUGAGACUCAGGAUGAAGACCCAGCUUGGGGCUGUCAAAGGUUUUUUGCAUGUCUGACACCCAUGACUCCACCUGGACCUUAUGGCUCCACCCAGAAGCAAUUCAGCCCAACAGGAGGACAGCUUCAACCCAUUACGAUUUCAUCUCUGCCCCAACCACUCAGCAGCAAGCACCUGUUACCUGUCCACCCCCACCCCUUCCCCCAAACUGCCUUUGAAAAAUCCCUAACCUAUGAGCUUUGAAUAAGAUGAGUACGAACUUCAUCGCCCACGUGGCGUGGCCGGCCUCGUGUCUAUUAAAUUCUUUUUCUACUACAA
Molecule: long non-coding RNA, 851 nt
Filed under: Homo sapiens (human)
Lineage: Eukaryota; Metazoa; Chordata; Mammalia; Primates; Hominidae
Rfam family: Pvt1 oncogene conserved region 1 (bases 17-194)
Source: RNAcentral